This is a non-coding RNA of Triticum aestivum (bread wheat), 115 nucleotides long. The record is from Rfam. NCBI's taxonomy places the organism in Eukaryota, Viridiplantae, Streptophyta, Magnoliopsida, Poales, Poaceae.
CAGAUACUUUCUUCGUUCGGAAUUUCUUGUCUCAAAAAUGAAUGUAUUUAGAAUUAAAAUACGUCUAGAUACAUUCAUUUAUGCGACAAGUAAUUCCGAACGAAGGGAGUAUUUC